RNAcentral lists this unclassified non-coding RNA (416 nucleotides) under plant metagenome. Its description in RNAcentral is "partial contains 5.8S ribosomal RNA, internal transcribed spacer 2, and large subunit ribosomal RNA". The stretch from base 1 to 105 matches the Rfam family "5.8S ribosomal RNA", at positions 50 to 154 of the family's 154-position model. The record is from RNAcentral.
GAAGUGCGAUAAGCAAUGCGAAUUGCAGAAUUCCGCGAGUCAUCAGAUCUUUGAACGCAUAUGGCGCCGGAGGGAUAUCCUUCUGGCAUGUCUGUUUCAGUGUCUGAGAGGUUUCACCAACAUCUUAAUGUGAUUGACAGCAGCAGCAGCAGCAAGCAAUUGUUGUGGUUGGUGUUGUCUCUCAUGAAAGAUGCGCGAGUGGAUCUUUCGGUCCAAUGAAGUGGUCACAUCACUCGUAUGUGAUUUCAUUGGGAGCACCGAAUUAUCCGCCAUGCUCGCGGUGUCAUCAUAUAAUAUAUGACGAAAGCAAGAAAGAAAGAAAGAGCUUCUUUCUUCUUCUUCUUCUUUGGUUGUAUUUUUUUUCUCUCUCUACACCCUGCAUCUGAGAUAGGCAAGAUCACCCGCUGAACUUAAGC